UCAUUUAUAUAUGAGAAAUUUAGGAAAAAAACUCUGUUUUUAAAAAUAUUUACAAAAUUUACCUCAGUGCUAAAAAGUUAACAAAAAUACUCUCCAUUAUUUUAUUUUUAUUUUUUUACUCUAAAAUAUAAAAUAGUUAUUUAUUUACUCGUACAGUUAUCUACAAAUACUCUAUAAUUCUUUUAAUUUUUGUUUUUUACUCUUCUUUAUUUUUUUUUCAGGAUCUCCUCUUCUUUCACAGAUCUCACGAAUAGCGAUACAACAGCACGGUGGCCGUUCGUCCAUUUACGUAACCCUUAAAAUGAUCUAAUUGUCACUGUGACCGGUUUCGGGUCGCUGCUUGCCCCUCCACUCCUUCGCCGGAGCGACCCGAUCCAUCAUCCCCUUUGCGAUUAUCCACCGCCGCCUCUCAUUAUAGCUUGAUGUAGCUUCGCUUGCAGAGGCGUCGCCGUCUCUCCCUGUGCCCUAGCUUUUGAUUACUCUGUUGUGCUUCAUUUAGGGAGAAAGUCAAAAGAUGAUAAUCUCUUGUCGCCAAAGAUAGAAAACAAUCAAGUGUUUAGGCCUAUCUGAUGUUGUCUUUUUCUUGCUUAAUCAGUACUGGAUUCAAAUUAUACAGAUAUUGUUGAUAUAUGUUGCUCUCAGUUGUAACUUAUAUGAUCCAUGUUACGACUGUAUUUACUAAUCUAUUAUUAGAGCCAAGUUUGUGUAACUUUUUCAGAUUGAAGAUGAGUAUGUCUCACUGCUCGACUACAAGUCCUCAAACAUUCUUUUAAACUGGCCAAGAUUUUGCAAAGAUUGAAAAGUGCCAUGGAAGGUAGCUUUUGCCCGGCAAGGUCAUUUUACUGUUGAUGCCCUCUUGUACUGCAAUUUAGUAAAUUUAGUAAGUAGAUUAUGGUGCUGGCAGUUUGACUUAUGUAAGGAAUUUGUUCCUUUGAUAUUAAAUUAGUGCUUUUAUAUAA
Molecule: long non-coding RNA, 959 nt
Organism: Mercurialis annua (annual mercury)
Lineage: Eukaryota; Viridiplantae; Streptophyta; Magnoliopsida; Malpighiales; Euphorbiaceae
Exons: 2
Source: RefSeq, a predicted model, not a curated record